UACGUAGGGCCCGAGCGUUGUCCGGAAUUAUUGGGCGUAAAGGGCUCGUAGGCGGUUUGUCGCGUCGGGAGUGAAAUCCACUGGCUUAACUGGUGGCUUGCUUUCGAUACGGGCAGACUGGAGGUAUGCAGGGGAGAACGGAAUUCCUGGUGUAGCGGUGAAAUGCGCAGAUAUCAGGAGGAACACCGGUGGCGAAGGCGGCAUCCUGGACCGAUACUGACGCUGAGGAGCGAAAGCCAGGGGAGCAAACGGG
RNAcentral lists this ribosomal RNA (253 nucleotides) under uncultured bacterium. RNAcentral's name for it is "partial 16S ribosomal RNA". It matches the Rfam family "Bacterial small subunit ribosomal RNA", at positions 524 to 776 of the family's 1533-position model. The record is from RNAcentral.